CGCGCCGCCCAGAAGACCAAGUUUGGCUGGAUGAGGUACCCUCAGGCUGCACAGGUGACAGAGGACAACCGGCUGCUCUACCUCCUCAUUAAGAUGCUGAGGAACCGCCCGCCCUCCAGCCGCCUUGCCUCUCCCAGCAAGGUGGCCGCCUCCAUCAAGGCACAAUAUAAAAGGAUUGUGGAUCGCGUGACAGACGAUCCCGUCCUCUGCGGCCUCUCCAUCCCACUGCCCAACAUCAACAAUAAGUCCAUCUCCAGCUUCUUCUCUCGGGAGGAGAAGGCUGCCAACUACAGAGCUACGGUGCAGCCCAAAGCCAAGCCCCACCGCACCGUGCUGUCUGACCAACCGCUGCCCGACGCUCUUGCGUUGCCGUCGUCGCUGCCACCACCAGACCGACGGCAAAUGCAGUUCGAGCAGCCUCGCCACACGGCCGGGAAAAGGCGCGGAGAGAAGCGGAGGUUGGACUUUGAGGAGCCGGACCCAGAGGCGGGACCUUCAAAUCGGCCCAUCCAAGCCCAGCCUGCUGCCGCCGCCCCCCUCUACAUCCUACCUGCAGUCCGGGCAGCUCCCAUACUGCUGGUGGUCCCAGCACAGCCGCGCGCUCCAUCAAUCCAGUUUGCCGGGCCUUCCUGCAGGCAGGUAUUCGCCCCCGUUCUGCCCCCCCCUGCUUUCAUCCCCAAGCCCAUCGUCCCCAAUAAGUCGGGGAGGCCCUGCGGGGCAUGCAAAGUUACUCAGUGUGGUGGCCGGAGGAAACGCUACACGCCCUCCAAGGACAAAGCGGUUGGAAGCAGCCAAAAAAUUUACACUUUUUGUCCUGCCACAGGGAAGUCAACCACCCCUGGCUUUGAAGGCGUGGUGUACACCAGCUUUGAACACUUUAAAAGUGUGGUGGACGAGGAGCUGGAGAGGAGGAGAAGCCAUUAACACUGACUGUUGACACACCUGUUGCUUACUGACUGUUGACACACCUGUUGCUUCUCCCAUAUUUUAUAUUAAUAAAAGUUGUGUUGUUCUUUAAAAGUGUGUCUUC
RNAcentral lists this long non-coding RNA (1030 nucleotides) under Gouania willdenowi (blunt-snouted clingfish). Its description in RNAcentral is "lncRNA (ENSGWIG00000000861.1)". Lineage: Eukaryota; Metazoa; Chordata; Actinopteri; Blenniiformes; Gobiesocidae. The record is from RNAcentral.